Molecule: small nucleolar RNA, 94 nt
Filed under: Prunus dulcis (almond)
Lineage: Eukaryota; Viridiplantae; Streptophyta; Magnoliopsida; Rosales; Rosaceae
Also listed under: 4 other names
Description: sRNA ncRNA
Rfam family: Small nucleolar RNA SNORD96 family
About the family: snoRNA Z37 is a member of the C/D class of snoRNA which contain the C (UGAUGA) and D (CUGA) box motifs. Z37 acts as a methylation guide for 5.8S ribosomal RNA.
Source: Rfam by way of RNAcentral
UUGCCGGUGAUGAAAUCAGUUAUAAAACACACCAUCUUUCGGGACUGAUUGGCUUAUUUAUAAGCCGUGCUGACUUUCUGCAAUUCUGAGGCAU